RNAcentral lists this ribosomal RNA (433 nucleotides) under uncultured bacterium. RNAcentral's name for it is "partial 16S ribosomal RNA". It matches the Rfam family "Bacterial small subunit ribosomal RNA", at positions 29 to 507 of the family's 1533-position model. The record is from RNAcentral.
AACGAACGCUGGCGGCAUGCUUAAUACAUGCAAGUCGAGCGGGCACUUCGGUGUCAGCGGCGCACGGGUGCGUAACGCGUGGGAACAUGCCUUUAGGUACGGAACAACCAAGGGAAACUUUGGCUAAUACCGUAUAAUAUCUCUGGAUCAAAGAUUUAUCGCCUAAAGAUUGGCCCGCGUUAGAUUAGGUAGUUGGUGGGGUAAUGGCCUACCAAGCCGACGAUCUAUAGGGGGUCUGAGAGGAUGAUCCCCCACACUGGAACUGAGACACGGUCCAGACUCCUACGGGAGGCAGCAGUAAGGAAUAUUGGACAAUGGGCGAAAGCCUGAUCCAGCCAUGCCGCGUGAGUGAUGAAGGCCUUAGGGUUGUAAAGCUCUUUUAGAUGGGAAGAUAAUGACGGUACCAUCAGAAUAAGCCCCGGCUAAAUUCGUG